UGCAACUUUGUAUAAAUAGAGUUAUCUUAGGGUCGAGUCAGUCACCCUGUGCGAGAUGAAGAAAUAGGACACUUUGAAUAAAAUAAUUAUUUUAUUAAUUAUUUAUAUUUUUAAUAUUAUAAUGGAUGCUGAAAGAUUACCUCUGCUUUAUGAAGCGCGAAGGAGACAUACAAGACCGCUCUCAAUCGAGGAAGUACGCAGAACCCAAAACCAACAACCCUGGAGGCGCGCUCAGUACUUCAUUAUCGUAUUUUUCUGGGCGACCAUGGCCACGUUCCUAUCUCUUGUGGUCUGCAUUCUGAUGACCAGCGCUUGUUCUCUAACAGGGAAGGUGCCCAGUGUUCCGCCAGUACAUUUAACGUUUGCACCGCUUUUGUCGCGAACCUUGCAGUAGAUUUUAGUUGUAAAAAAUCUAUGUAGAAAUAUUGUUAUCUAGGGAUAAGUGACUCGAAAUAUAGUUUUAUAUUGUACCUAAU
This is a long non-coding RNA of Colias croceus (clouded yellow), 476 nucleotides long. RefSeq lists it as uncharacterized. Lineage: Eukaryota; Metazoa; Arthropoda; Insecta; Lepidoptera; Pieridae. The transcript has 2 exons. The record is from RefSeq and is a predicted model, not a curated record.